ACUGGUGUGCCCAAAUUGGUAAAGGGACUUGACUUAAAAUCAAGGAUUUGUGGGUUCGAAUCCCACCACCAGUA
Molecule: transfer RNA, 74 nt
Filed under: Candidatus Uabimicrobium amorphum
Lineage: Bacteria; Pseudomonadati; Planctomycetota; Candidatus Uabimicrobiia; Candidatus Uabimicrobiales; Candidatus Uabimicrobiaceae
Description: Uabimicrobium amorphum tRNA
Rfam family: tRNA
About the family: Transfer RNA (tRNA) molecules are approximately 80 nucleotides in length. Their secondary structure includes four short double-helical elements and three loops (D, anti-codon, and T loops).
Source: Rfam by way of RNAcentral